Long non-coding RNA from Vidua chalybeata, 454 nucleotides. RefSeq lists it as uncharacterized. Lineage: Eukaryota; Metazoa; Chordata; Aves; Passeriformes; Viduidae. The record is from RefSeq and is a predicted model, not a curated record. The transcript is spliced from 3 exons.
CAGAGGUCUGUGAUGGCCAGAGAGCACAGGGCUGCAGGAGGGACAGACUGUCCUUCAGCCUGAGGGGGGCUGAAAGACCUUUCCAAUGCUGUGUUCAGGGCUUGAAGUGACAGCUCGCCUGCUGACGGGAAGGUUUGGUUCUGCUGAUGUCAGAGGGGAGCAGGCACAGCAGCACACACUGUUUAUGCUUGUGUGAUGUUUAACUGACAGAAUCAAUCUUCGCUGCUCAGCACUUCCACGAUUGAAAUAAAAGGAAGAAGAACCCCAGUCCUUCACAGAUUUACAAAGCUAUAAGCAAUGAACAAGUGAUGCCCCAUUUUCCAAAGCCCCUCGUGCCGGCUCCAAGUCAGAAACCAGCCGCUGAUAACUCAUACAGCACGGAUGUGACAAACAGGAGGGAAGCAGCCAUCUAUCACAGCAGCUCCCGAAGCCUUCCAAUAAAACAAAGUGCCAA